This is a small nuclear RNA of 111 nucleotides. Its record names the gene U2. It matches the Rfam family "U2 spliceosomal RNA". Rfam says of the family: U2 is a small nuclear RNA (snRNA) component of the spliceosome (involved in pre-mRNA splicing). Complementary binding between U2 snRNA (in an area lying towards the 5' end but 3' to hairpin I) and the branchpoint sequence (BPS) of the intron results the bulging out of an unpaired adenosine, on the BPS, which initiates a nucleophilic attack at the intronic 5' splice site, thus starting the first of two transesterification reactions that mediate splicing. The record is from Ensembl.
AUCACUCCCUAGCCUUUGACUAAGAUCAAAUGUAAGAUCUGUUCUCAACAGUUUAACACUGGUCGGGUCCUCUGUCUGAAGACAACAUACUAAAUGAAUUUUAGAGCUAAU